RNAcentral lists this ribosomal RNA (375 nucleotides) under uncultured organism. RNAcentral describes it as "partial 16S ribosomal RNA". It matches the Rfam family "Bacterial small subunit ribosomal RNA", at positions 527 to 896 of the family's 1533-position model. The record is from RNAcentral.
GUAGGUGGCAAGCGUUGUCCGGAAUUAUUGGGCGUAAAGCGCGCGCAGGUGGUUCUUUAAGUCUGAUGUGAAAGCCCCCGGCUCAACCGGGGAGGGUCAUUGGAAACUGGGGAACUUGAGUGCAGGAGAGGAAAGUGGAAUUCCACGUGUAGCGGUGAAAUGCGUAGAUAUGUGGAGGAACACCAGUGGCGAAGGCGACUUUUCUGGCCUGUAACUGACACUGAGGCGCGAAAGCGUGGGGAGCAAACAGGGAUUAGAUACCCUGGUAGUCCACGCCGUAAACGAUGAGUGCUAAGUGUUGGGGGGGUUUUCCGCCCCCUCAGUGCUGCAGCUAACGCAUUAAGCACUCCGCCUGGGAGUACGGUCGCAAGACUG